RNAcentral lists this ribosomal RNA (460 nucleotides) under uncultured bacterium. Its description in RNAcentral is "bacterial SSU rRNA". It matches the Rfam family "Bacterial small subunit ribosomal RNA", at positions 32 to 471 of the family's 1533-position model. The record is from RNAcentral.
AAUCAACGCUGGCGGCGUGCCUCAGACAUGCAAGUCGAACGCGAAAGUUUCCUUCGGGAGACAAGUAGAGUGGCGCACGGGUGAGUAACACGUAGGUAAUCUACCUUUGGAUGGGGAAUAACAACCGGAAACGGUUGCUAAUACCGCAUAAUGCAGCGGCACCUAAUGGUGACAGUUGUUAAAGCGGGGGAUCGAAAGACCUCGCGUCUGAAGAGGAGCCUGCGGCGGAUUAGCUAGUUGGUAAGGUAAUGGCUUACCAAGGCUACGAUCCGUAACCGGCCUGAGAGGGCGGUCGGUCACACUGACACUGACAUACGGGUCAGACUCCUACGGGAGGCAGCAGUCGGGAAUUUUGGGCAAUGGGCGAAAGCCUGACCCAGCAACGCCGCGUGAGGGAUGAAAUCCCUCGGGAUGUAAACUUCGCAAGAACGGGAAGAAUAAGUAGGGACAAUACCCCCUA